AGAGGGAAGCCAACCCGCGAGGGGGAGCCAAUCUCAACAAACCUGAUCUCAGUUCGGAUUGCAGGCUGCAACCCGCCUGCAUGAA
Molecule: ribosomal RNA, 85 nt
Filed under: uncultured soil bacterium
Lineage: Bacteria
Description: partial 16S ribosomal RNA
Rfam family: Bacterial small subunit ribosomal RNA
Source: RNAcentral